This 775-nucleotide ribosomal RNA is filed under the name uncultured Neocallimastigales. RNAcentral describes it as "partial large subunit ribosomal RNA". It matches the Rfam family "Eukaryotic large subunit ribosomal RNA", at positions 23 to 649 of the family's 3401-position model. Lineage: Eukaryota; Fungi; Neocallimastigomycota; Neocallimastigomycetes; Neocallimastigales. The record is from RNAcentral.
AGAGAUGUGUGAUGACGCAUAUCAAUAAGCGGAGGAAAAGAAACUAACUAGGAUUCCCUUAGUAACGGCGAGUGAAGCGAGAAGAGCUCAAAUUUGAAAUCUUCAAGGUUCUACCUUGACGAAUUGUAGUUUAUAGAAGUGUUUUCUGUUAGUAGGAGUGGCAAAAGUUCUUUGGAAUAGGACAUCAUAGAGGGUGAGAAUCCCGUAUUUGGUCAUUCCUCCUAGCGUUGUGAUACACUUUCAACGAGUCGGAUUGUUUGGGAAUGCAGUCCAAAAUGGGUGGUAAAUUUCAUCUAAAGCUAAAUAUUGGCGAGAGACCGAUAGCGAACAAGUACCGUGAGGGAAAGAUGAAAAGAACUUUGAAAAGAGAGUUAAACAGUACGUGAAAUUGUCAAAAGGGAAGCGUUUGACACCAGUGUUGUUUUUCCGAAAAUCAAUUACGAAUGUUUUGUUUUUGAGAAGUUAUGACUUCAUCGGCUUGCUUCUCUCUUUACGAAACUUUCUUAAUGCACUUUUCGGUUAACAAGUCAACAUCAAUUUCUUUUGUUGUAAAAGGGUAAGAGGAAGGUGGCUUGCGCUUCGGCUCAAGUGUUUAUAGCCUUUUAUCUCUGCAAUCGGAGAGAUUGAGGUCUGCAGCGUAGAUCCUUCGGGGUUAGAUACAUUGGUGCUAAGCUAUAGCCUUGUAUAGACAACUUGUUGACUAUGCUCAGUCAUGUAGCUUACUCGCUGAUGCUAUUUUACCUACGCUUAGGAUGUUGAGUAGCGACAUACGCAC